AUACGUAGGGGGCGAGCGUUGUCCGGAAUCAUUGGGCGUAAAGGGCGCGCAGGCGGCGAGGCAAGUCCGGUGUGAAAGUGCUCGGCUCAACCGAGUGAUGCGCUGGAAACUGCCCUGCUUGAGUACUGGAGGGGACGUCGGAAUUCCAGGUGUAGGGGUGAAAUCUGUAGAUAUCUGGAAGAACACCGGUGGCGAAGGCGGACGUCUGGCCAUGCACUGACGCUGAGGCGCGAAGGUGCGGGGAGCGAACAGGUUUAGAUACCCUGGUAGUCCGCACAGUAAACGAUGUGCACCAGGUGGCGGGGGGUAGCCCUCGGUACCGAAGCCAACGCAUUAAGUGCACCGCCUGGGGAGUAUGCUCGCAAGGGUGAAACUCAAAGGAAUUGACGGGG
This 392-nucleotide ribosomal RNA is filed under the name uncultured bacterium. RNAcentral's name for it is "partial 16S ribosomal RNA". It matches the Rfam family "Bacterial small subunit ribosomal RNA", at positions 523 to 918 of the family's 1533-position model. The record is from RNAcentral.